This 1466-nucleotide ribosomal RNA is filed under the name Antarctic bacterium R-7550. RNAcentral's name for it is "bacterial SSU rRNA". It matches the Rfam family "Bacterial small subunit ribosomal RNA". Lineage: Bacteria; Pseudomonadati; Bacteroidota. The record is from RNAcentral.
GAUGAACGCUAGCGGCAGGCUUAACACAUGCAAGUCGAGGGGUAUAGUUCUUCGGAAUUAGAGACCGGCGCACGGGUGCGUAACGCGUAUGCAAUCUACCUUUCACAGAGGGAUAGCCCAGAGAAAUUUGGAUUAAUACCUCAUAGUAUAUAGAGUUGGCAUCAACAUUAUAUUAAAGUCACAACGGUGAAAGAUGAGCAUGCGUCCCAUUAGUUAGUUGGUAAGGUAACGGCUUACCAAGACAACGAUGGGUAGGGGUCCUGAGAGGGAGAUCCCCCACACUGGUACUGAGACACGGACCAGACUCCUACGGGAGGCAGCAGUGAGGAAUAUUGGACAAUGGGCGCAAGCCUGAUCCAGCCAUGCCGCGUGCAGGAUGACGGUCCUAUGGAUUGUAAACUGCUUUUAUACGAGAAGAAACAACUCUACGUGUAGAGUCUUGACGGUAUCGUAAGAAUAAGGAUCGGCUAACUCCGUGCCAGCAGCCGCGGUAAUACGGAGGAUCCAAGCGUUAUCCGGAAUCAUUGGGUUUAAAGGGUCCGUAGGCGGUCAGAUAAGUCAGUGGUGAAAGCCCAUCGCUCAACGGUGGAACGGCCAUUGAUACUGUCUGACUUGAAUUAUUAGGAAGUAACUAGAAUAUGUAGUGUAGCGGUGAAAUGCUUAGAGAUUACAUGGAAUACCAAUUGCGAAGGCAGGUUACUACUAAUUGAUUGACGCUGAUGGACGAAAGCGUGGGUAGCGAACAGGAUUAGAUACCCUGGUAGUCCACGCCGUAAACGAUGGAUACUAGCUGUUGGGAGCAAUCUCAGUGGCUAAGCGAAAGUGAUAAGUAUCCCACCUGGGGAGUACGUUCGCAAGAAUGAAACUCAAAGGAAUUGACGGGGGCCCGCACAAGCGGUGGAGCAUGGUGGGUUUAAUUCGAUGAUACGCGAGGAACCUUACCAAGGCUUAAAUGUAGAUUGACCGGUUUGGAAACAGACUUUUCGCAAGACAAUUACAAGGUGCUGCAUGGUUGUCGUCAGCUCGUGCCGUGAGGUGUCAGGUUAAGUCCUAUAACGAGCGCAACCCCUGUUGUUAGUUGCCAGCGAGUCAUGUCGGGAACUCUAACAAGACUGCCAGUGCAAACUGUGAGGAAGGUGGGGAUGACGUCAAAUCAUCACGGCCCUUACGCCUUGGGCUACACACGUGCUACAAUGGCCGGUACAGAGAGCAGCCACUGGGCGACCAGGAGCGAAUCUACAAAACCGGUCACAGUUCGGAUCGGAGUCUGCAACUCGACUCCGUGAAGCUGGAAUCGCUAGUAAUCGGAUAUCAGCCAUGAUCCGGUGAAUACGUUCCCGGGCCUUGUACACACCGCCCGUCAAGCCAUGGAAGCUGGGGGUGCCUGAAGUCGGUGACCGCAAGGAGCUGCCUAGGGUAAAACUGGUAACUAGGGCUAAGUCGUAACAAGGUAGCCGUACCGGAAG